Molecule: long non-coding RNA, 1251 nt
Organism: Fundulus heteroclitus (mummichog)
Lineage: Eukaryota; Metazoa; Chordata; Actinopteri; Cyprinodontiformes; Fundulidae
Exons: 3
Source: RefSeq, a predicted model, not a curated record
AGGGAUACGGGAAAGUUUUUCAAGAAAGUUGUUUAUCCGUGUUGUCACGUCCGUAGCCCGGUGCAGCCGGCAGCAGAAGGGAGACAGAACUGGAGCUGGUAGACUUACAAUAACAAAACUCAGAGCGAAGGAAUUGUGUUUGGAGAGGUUUUUUUUUUUUUUUUUUCUCUCUCUCUCCCCCCCUCCAUCUUGAGGCGCAACAAAUCCGAGGUACACACUUGCCUCGUUGGAGCCGAGGACUGACAACAGGCCGACUUGCACGGGGGAGAAAAAGGGCGGGUGAAAGAGCUCUUGCAGCGGACGGAGAGAGCGCCAACCAAGUCCCGCUGGUAAGUUGAAUCCUCACAGAGCUUUAUUUUCCUGUCUGGCCUGCAGGUGGAAAUCACACCUACUGCUGUGUGACAGACUACAAUAUUGGCAGAGCUGCUUUUGGCAAAACUCCCUUUUUAUCGUCCAUGUCUGCUGAGUUUUGUUCUGCCGUGACUAAGAGACGCUCAACGCUGUUUGCAUCUCUACAUUAAACAAACCUGCGUGUCUGUUGUUUUUUUUUUUUUCUGUGUGCGUCUGGGCUGGGGUUUUAUCCCGCGUGUUCUUGCAGCUGUUUAGAGUCGCGGCGUACGACAUGGAGUGGCACAAAGCGAUGACUUGACCCAGAUUUCUUGUUUUGUUCCAGUGUGGGAUUGUAAUGUCGGUGUAUGGUGUCUGUCAGAUUUGAGCUUCGUUGGGCUACCCUAAAGUGAGCUGGAGUACUGUUAGAGUAGGUUUUUAUUUAUUUAUUUUUUUAUAAAUUCUGCCAUAAGUUUAUAAUCCUUUAUAAUUGAGCUAUUGCUCUUCUGAAGUCUUAAUCAACACUUCCAGGCCCUUUACCUUCUAAGUCCUCCCAUGUACAUCGUUUGCUCAUUGUCACUUUCCAGAACAGAUACUUGUUACGGAUUACAUGAAGUGAUAUAAAGAUGUGGAUAAAAGAUGUGUGUUGUUGCACUAACAUACUGUUAGGUUAAAGAUUUUAUUGCGUGGAGGAAAUACGUAUUAGAAAAUAACUGUUUUUACCUAAAUCACUGGUGGCACAGUUAUCGGCACCCCUGCUGGUAAUACUUUGUACAACAUCAUACUAAAAGGAAGACAAUGCUGAGUCGUCUCCUUUAUGGUUAAAGCACAGAGAGACGGGGAUCUUUGACCGUUCGUCGUAGCACAGUCUCUCUAGCUCAUGUGUGGGCAACUCCAGUCCUCGAAGAUCAGUGUCCUGCAGAA